RNAcentral lists this ribosomal RNA (316 nucleotides) under uncultured Chloroflexota bacterium. RNAcentral's name for it is "bacterial SSU rRNA". It matches the Rfam family "Bacterial small subunit ribosomal RNA", at positions 28 to 351 of the family's 1533-position model. The record is from RNAcentral. Lineage: Bacteria; Bacillati; Chloroflexota.
GAUAAACGUUGGCGGCGUGCUUUAUGCAUGCAAGUCGCACGAUCAAUCGCAAGAAAGAUAGUGGCAAACGGGUGAGUAAUACGUAAGUAAUCUGUCCUAAGGUGGGGAAUAAUCUACCGAAAGGUGGACUAAUACCGCAUGUGGUGGUUCUUCACAUGGGGAAUCAAGAAAGCCGCAAGGCGCCUUUGGAGGAGCUUGCGUCCGAUUAGCUAGUUGGCAGGGUAAAAGCCUACCAAGGCGAGGAUCGGUAGCUGGUCUGAGAGGAUGUCCAGCCACACUGGGACUGAGACACGGCCCAGACUCCUACGGGAGGCUG